UAUGGGCAAUAAAAAGCAAAAAAUAAGAGACUUCCAGCGAUGGCUAGCUGCAAGGCGCCUUUGUCCUUGUUGGCACCUCCUGCACAGGGAGGGUUUGAUGGCUCUUCAUCAGUGGAGGAACCUCGUGUAAUGGCAGACCGGUAAAUGGACGCGGAAAUGAACGUCACAAACUUCAAAUAAAUCUUUUAGAGUUGACGGCAGUCUUUCGGGCCCUGGAACAUUUUCUCCCGUUAUUGAAAAGGUUAAUUUGGUCUAGGACUAGGCUUAAUCUCUGACCAGAAAACCAUCCCAAUACGUUUAAGUAGUAUACAGUAUGGCUUUCUCAAGCCAACAUAAUCACUGGUCAUGCUAUUGAUAGAUACAUAAUCAGCUCUUAGUUGUAUGGCAGUUUCAGUCUUGAGUAGCACAUUACGACAAUACACCACAUUUUGUACACCGAUUGAUCGCUAUUGAUGUAGUAAAUGAUCAGGCAUUGUCAUUUUGUUUAUGUCCAUCACGCCUGGAGCACAAAACAAAAUGCUUUUAAGGUUUAAAGCUUGGUCAUCCAUCAUUCGGGUCCAUUUCCUUACCGGCCACCACACCAUACUUCU
Pimephales promelas (fathead minnow) is the source of this 590-nucleotide non-coding RNA. The record is from RefSeq and is a predicted model, not a curated record. NCBI's taxonomy places the organism in Eukaryota, Metazoa, Chordata, Actinopteri, Cypriniformes, Leuciscidae.